AUGGAUCUAUAUUUCAGGACCAAGUCUAUUGGUUUUGGGGUACAUGAGCAGAGCAUGCAAGACAGUUGCGUAGGUACACACAUGGCAGUGUGCUUUGCUUUUCUUCUCCCCUUCACCCACAUUUGGCAUUUCUCCCCAGGCUAUCCCUCCCCACCUCCCCCUCCCACUGGCCCUCCCCUUUUCCCCCCAAUAGACCCCAGUGUUUAGUACUCCCCUUUCUGUGUCCAUGUGUUCUCAUUUUUCAUCACCCACCUAUGAGUGAGAAUAUGCGGUGUUUCAUUUUCUGUUCUUCUGUCAGUUUGCUGAGGAUGAUGUUUUCCAGAUUCAUCCAUGUCCCUACAAACGACACAAACUCGUCAUUUCUGAUUGCUGCAUAAUAUUCCAUGGUGUAUAUGUGCCACAUUUUUCCAAUCCAGUCUAUUAUCAAUGGGCAUUUGGGUUGAUUCCAGGUCUUUGCUAUUGUAAACAGUGCUGCAAUGAACAUUCGUGUACAUGUGUCCUUAUAGUAGAACGAUUUAUAGUCUUUUGGAUAUAUACCCAGUAAUGGGAUUGCUGGGUCAAAUGGAAUUUCUAUUUCUAAGGCCUUGAGGAAUCGCCACACUGUCUUCCACAAUGGUUGAACUAAUUUACACUCCCACCAACAGUGUAAAAGUGUUCCUUUUUCUCCACAUCCUCUCCAGCAUCUGUUGUCUCCAGAUUUUUUAAUGAUCGCCAUUCUAACUGGCGUGAGAUGGUAUCUCAAUGUGGUUUUGAUUUGCAUCUCUCUGAUGACCAGU
This 776-nucleotide long non-coding RNA is filed under the name Callithrix jacchus (white-tufted-ear marmoset). Its description in RNAcentral is "lncRNA (ENSCJAG00000078818.1)". Lineage: Eukaryota; Metazoa; Chordata; Mammalia; Primates; Cebidae. The record is from RNAcentral.